RNA transcript from Solanum stenotomum, 2429 nucleotides. It is a transcript of the gene named TMV resistance protein N-like, with no coding region annotated. The transcript is spliced from 3 exons. The record is from RefSeq and is a predicted model, not a curated record. Lineage: Eukaryota; Viridiplantae; Streptophyta; Magnoliopsida; Solanales; Solanaceae.
AUCUGAUUUUCCCCAUCCUGUAGCAACUCAAACCCUAGCUCAAUCAAUCGACAAUCCAAUCCAUGACAUCUUCUUCUUUUGCAAGUGUUUCACAAGUUCCUCCAUGUAAAUACGAUUUGGAUCAAUCAGAAAUGGCCAAUCUAAAAGGCUGUGACAUACUCAAUCGGGUUGAAUCAGGAAGCAUUAAGUGGAUUGUUGGCCAAAUGUCUUCAUUAUGUAAGCUUCUCUUAUCAUCUUCCCGAGAUGUUGCGGGUAUAAAUGUUGAUUUACGGCAAGUGAAAUCCUUGCUAUGGAUGAGUAUUAAUGAUAUUCGAAUUGUUGGUAUUUGGGGUAUGGAAGGAGUUGGAAAGAUAAUGAUUUUUGUUUUCUUGCGGAUGUUAAAGAAUGCAAAAACAGAAUGCGUUCUUCGCGAGGAAUCCUAGUUGGUUUGGUAAUGACAGCAGAAUUACUGCAACAACUAGAGACAAACAUUUGAUAGUGAAAAAUGUCGUAGUAUAUGAAGUGGCUACACUUAGAUUAAAAAACAUUUUGAGUGUAGUCAUGGAUGAUUUGAUAAGAGUUCAAAUGUGAAAUCUCAAUAGUAGAGGAGGAGAAGCUUCAAUCAGAGCGAAAUGUAGGUUUGUUUCUUGGAGCAUGUGUAUCCUCUUGAUAUUGGUUGGUUGGUUUGGUAAUGGCAGUAGAAUUAUUGCAACAACUAGAGACAAACGUUUGAUAGGGAAGAAUGUCAUAGUAUAGAGUGAAACAUAGGUUUGUUUCUUGGAGCAUUUGUAUCCUCUCGAGGUUGAGUGGUUGGUUUGGUAAUAGCAGUAGAAUUAUUGCAACAACUAGAGACAAGCGUUUGAUAGGGAAGAAUGUCGUAGUAUAUGAAGUGACUAUACUUAAAUUACAAAAUGCUAUGUAUGUAGCCAUGGAUUCUUUGAUAAGAGUUCAAAUGUGAAAUCUCGCCAUUAGAGGAGGAGAAACUCUAAUGAGAGCAAAAACUAGGUUUUCUGGGAGCAGUUGUAUCCUCUCAAGCCUGAGUUACAUUUGCUCCCUAAAUUGAUUUAGAAAUCAUAGAAAGAAUAAUGCGAUCAAUUUUGGAUUGCGUUCAUGGUUUGGAAUCCCGGUGUAACAAAUAUGGUGCCAGAGAAUCGAUUGCUCACAAAGAUUGACCAUGAAGUUAUUCUAUCGCUCAAUCAAUAUGCUUUCAAAAAGAAAUUCUAGUUAAGAGUUUUGAGAAACUCCCAUGGGAAACAGUAAAUCAUGCUAAAGACCUUCCUUUUAGCCUUGAAAGUGUGGGUUUCUUUUGUGCAUAGGAAAGGUGUAACUACACAAUGUAGUGCUAAAGAGAGAAUGAAGAAAAACUUGGGAUAAGAAAUUGUUGGACAACUCAAAAUAAGCUAUGGAGUGGAGUCCAUAGAGCAAGAGGUAUUUCUAGAUAUAGUAUAUUUCUUUCGAGGGUAUGAUGAAUAUUACAUCAUAAAAAAUUAAAAUCCUUGUGAGUUCUGGAUUUGAAUUUGCUAUUGGAUUGAGUGUCCUAAUUGAAAAAUUUCGUGGUUGUUUUUCUUGAGUUCAUCUCAGUGGAAUAUACAAUUGAAAUGCAUGAAAAGUCUCGUUUUCUUCUCCGGAGAAUAUACAAUUGACAGCAUGAUUUGAUACAAGAUAUGGGUAGAUAUGUAGUUACUAUGAAAAUGAUCUUGGAGAAUGGAGAACAUCGGAGACCAUGGUGCGGUGAUGAUCAACAAUACAAAUCUACUUUGGUUUGUCGGGGAUGGCUAUCCUUUGGGAUCACUUCCAGCUAAUUUGAACCAAAAGACUUGUUCGUCUUUGAUUCACACGGAGUUCCUUCCAUUAAUUAUGAAGAGAGGAAUAAAGGUACUGAGAAUUCCAGCUAUUUGUUGAUACAUUGUCCAGUAGAAUAGCUAGAGACAUCUAGAGUAUGUUUAUGUUUACCUUUCAUUAGUUGUAGCCAUUGGGAAGUAAAGAAAAAUCCAACAAUCUAAUAAGACCAGAUUCACUAGCAGCUCCUACAUACAUUUAUUUUUGCAGUUUCUAACAUCUUGAGCUCGGCUAUCUAGCGAACCCUAUGGAGAUGAAUCGAAGAUACUUUGUGGGGCUGCAACACCUGUUGUUAUCUACACGGGGUUUCUUAUGAAUCUGCUUUCCGGUGUAAUUGCAGUGAUGUUAAUUACUGAUAGAUAAGAACCAAAGAUUAGGUGUUAAAUCACAUUUUGGAUUUUUAUCGUUUCUUUUUGAGUUUUAUGCAUGAACCAUAUACUUUUUUUCUGUAACUUCAUACUUCCACUGUAUGCCGCAAAUCAAUAGAAUCUUUCUUCUUGUUGAUUAUGCAAUGGUAAUAAAAACGAACUGAUGGUUGUAAUUCAUUGGUAAUACUUGAUGAAAUUAUACAAAAUGUGAAGAAGAUUGGAUGUUGGUUUGGAAGUCAAAAU